GAUGAAGAACGUAGCGAAAUGCGACAAGUAAUGUGAAUUGCAGAAUUCAGUGAAUCAUCGAAUCUUUGAACGCACAUUGCGCCCGCCAGUAUUCUGGCGGGCAUGCCUGUCCGAGCGUCAUUUCAACCCUCGAACCCCUCCGGGGGGUCGGCGUUGGGGAUCGGCCCUUUACGGGGCCGGCCCCGAAAUACAGUGGCGGUCUCGCCGCAGCCUCUCCUGCGCAGUAGUUUGCACACUCGCAUCGGGAGCGCGGCGCGUCCACAGCCGUUAAACACCCCAAACUUCUGAAAUGUUGACCUCGGAUCAGGUAGGAAUACCCGCUGAACUUAAGCAUAUCAAUAAGCGGAGGA
Molecule: unclassified non-coding RNA, 350 nt
Filed under: soil metagenome
Description: partial contains 5.8S ribosomal RNA, internal transcribed spacer 2, and large subunit ribosomal RNA
Rfam family: 5.8S ribosomal RNA (bases 1-120)
Source: RNAcentral